UACAGAGGGUGCGAGCGUUGUUCGGAAUUCUUGGGCGUAAAGGGCGCGUAGGCGGUGCGGUAAGUCACCUGUGAAAUCUCCCGGCUUAACUGGGAGCCUGCAGGCGAAACUGCCGUGCUGGAGUGUGGGAGAGGUGCGUGGAAUUCCCGGCGUAGCGGUGAAAUGCGUAGAUAUCGGGAGGAACACCUGUGGCGAAAGCGGCGCACUGGACCACAACUGACGCUGAGGCGCGAAAGCUAGGGGAGCAAACAGG
RNAcentral lists this ribosomal RNA (253 nucleotides) under uncultured bacterium. RNAcentral's name for it is "partial 16S ribosomal RNA". It matches the Rfam family "Bacterial small subunit ribosomal RNA", at positions 524 to 776 of the family's 1533-position model. The record is from RNAcentral.